Molecule: long non-coding RNA, 599 nt
Filed under: Homo sapiens (human)
Lineage: Eukaryota; Metazoa; Chordata; Mammalia; Primates; Hominidae
Description: HSALNT0207968
Source: RNAcentral
UGCUCUAUUUUUGAGUCAUAAGGAUAUAGUGUGAGCCACGGCGCCUGGCCCAACUUUUUGUUGAAAUGAGCUUUGAAGGAUAAGUAAGAAUUAAAGUGGCAGAAUGGAAGAGAACCAGUUAGAAGGUAAUUGCAGUAGUCUAGGGAAAUGAACAUGAUAAAUUGAGCCAUCUUUUGAGCCAAAGGGUAAUAAAGGCAGAAGUAGAUGGAUUUGAGGGAUCUUUAGGAGGUAAAGAUGGGAAUUUAAAAUACUGGGUACGGGUAGUAAGGUAGGUUUCUGGUCUGUGCAACCAUGACUAUCCAGAUAGGAGAUGCUGGAGAAUGAUUACCAGUUUGUGUAUGUGCACAUGUGGUAGUGGGAUAGGGAUGGGGGAACUGGAGAGUCUACCAAGAAAAGCUAUGGAUUAAGCAGGGAGAUAUACAGACCAAGAGUUCAAAGGUGACAUCUUGCCCAGAGAUAUGAGAGACAUAAGCAUAUAAUUUAUUGAAGAAAAUAAUGAAUAAUAAUUGAGGUGAUGUAUUGGAAUUAAACAUCCUUGAAAAGAAAGUAUAGAAUGAAAAGAAGGUCUAGGACCAAAGUGAACUUCAAUUAAAGGGGUG